Long non-coding RNA from Orcinus orca (killer whale), 777 nucleotides. RefSeq lists it as uncharacterized. The record is from RefSeq and is a predicted model, not a curated record. Lineage: Eukaryota; Metazoa; Chordata; Mammalia; Artiodactyla; Delphinidae. The transcript has 3 exons.
ACGGGCAGUUUGGUAGACAGAGAUGGGCACCUCUCUGCUUUGGCCCCUGGACUGAGGUCCUGGGUCCAUGGGGACCUGGAGACUCACCAGCCAGUUCUGGCUGUCCCAGUGUGAGAGGGACUGUGUGUCCAUGAGGGGAUGAGGACUGUGUACAGAGAGGGGAGUCGAGGAGCCUGAGGAUGUUUAGCCUGGGUUGAGGGGCUGAGGAAGCUGUUACCCUCACCGUGACCCUUCAUGUGUUCAUGGCGGAGACCUAGCUCUUUGUGUUCCUGAACAUCAAACUCUGACAUGUGAGUGAGAGCCAAAAGAUGCUAGAUCUGGGCUCAGCAUAAGGGAGACUUGUUUCCUUGUCUACAAGAUGGUGACAAACCGCCUACGUCAAGGGUGGAGGAGGGUGGAUGAGAAAUGCUUUUAAAGCGCUCUUUCCUGCUCCCAGCUCAGAGGAUGUGCUCCCUAGUGGUCAGGAUGCCCCUGGAAGAACUCUUCCACCUGAGGUCCCCAUGCUGCCUGCCCCAGUCCCUGGAGCUCUCAGCAGAGGAGGGACAGUAGCCUCACAAUGGAUACAAAAGGGUUUCGGAUCAAGUGGCUUAAGCGUUACCCUCCCACUCCAAGACGACACAAUUCCUGGACUUUAAAGAUAAAGUGGAAGAAAGGCACCACCUGUUUUGAUGCCUGGUGGAGCCACUGAAAGUUCUAGGACCGACUCCAAGAAGGUUGAAGAUGAGCACAACAGUUGAGAAUCCUAAGGGAUCGAUGGAAAACUGGAAGAGGUGGUAA